UAGGAUCUUCAUAGUUCAUGACAGGUAUGU
RNAcentral lists this non-coding RNA (30 nucleotides) under Mus musculus (house mouse). Lineage: Eukaryota; Metazoa; Chordata; Mammalia; Rodentia; Muridae. The record is from RNAcentral.